Molecule: ribosomal RNA, 912 nt
Filed under: Aphidius rhopalosiphi
Lineage: Eukaryota; Metazoa; Arthropoda; Insecta; Hymenoptera; Braconidae
Description: SSU rRNA
Rfam family: Eukaryotic small subunit ribosomal RNA
Source: RNAcentral
UGCAUGUCUCAGUACAUGCCUAAUUAAGGUGAAACCGCGAAUGGCUCAUUAAAUCAGUUAUGGUUCCUUAGAUCGUACCCACAUUUACUUGGAUAACUGUGGUAAUUCUAGAGCUAAUACAUGCAAACUAGAAUUCCGACCAGAGAUGGAAGGAAUGCUUUUAUUAGAUCAAAACCAAUCGGUGGUAUAUAAUUUAUUAUAUAUCCAUCGUUAAUUUUGAUGACUCUGAAUAACUUUGUGCUGAUCGCAUGGUCUUGUACCGGCGACGAAUCUUUCAAAUGUCUGCCUUAUCAACUGUCGAUGGUAGGUUCUGCGCCUACCAUGGUUGUAACGGGUAACGGGGAAUCAGGGUUCGAUUCCGGAGAGGGAGCCUGAGAAACGGCUACCACAUCCAAGGAAGGCAGCAGGCGCGCAAAUUACCCACUCCCGGCACGGGGAGGUAGUGACGAAAAAUAACGAUACGGGACUCAUCCGAGGCCCCGUAAUCGGAAUGAGUACACUUUAAAUCCUUUAACGAGGAUCCAUUGGAGGGCAAGUCUGGUGCCAGCAGCCGCGGUAAUUCCAGCUCCAAUAGCGUAUAUUAAAGUUGUUGCGGUUAAAAAGCUCGUAGUUGAAUUUGUGUGCCACGCUGUCGGUUCAUCGCUCGCGAUGUUUAACUGGCAUGAUUGUGGGACGUCCUACCGGUGGAUUUAGCUUUAUAUAUUUUCGAAUAUAUUUAGCGAUCCAGUUUAUAUCCCGUCGCGGUGCUCUUUAUUGAGUGUCGAGGUGGGCCGGUACGUUUACUUUGAACAAAUUAGAGUGCUUAAAGCAGGCUUUUUUUGCCUGAAUACUGUGUGCAUGGAAUAAUAGAAUAGGACCUCGGUUCUAUUUUGUUGGUUUUCGGAACCCCGAGGUAAUGAUAAUAGGACAGAU